This 294-nucleotide ribosomal RNA is filed under the name uncultured bacterium. Its description in RNAcentral is "partial 16S ribosomal RNA". It matches the Rfam family "Bacterial small subunit ribosomal RNA", at positions 505 to 796 of the family's 1533-position model. The record is from RNAcentral.
GUGUCAGCCGCCGCGGUAAUACAGAGGGUGCGAGCGUUGUUCGGAAUUACUGGGCGUAAAGCGCGCGCAGGCGGCCUUUUAAGUCUACCCGUGAAAUGCCGGGGCUCAACUCCGAGCACCGCGGGGGAUACUGGGAGGCUGGAGACAGGUAGAGGCAAGCGGAAUUCCGGGUGUAGCGGUGGAAUGCGUAGAGAUCCGGAAGAACACCUGAGGCGAAGGCGGCUUGCUGGGCCUGUUCUGACGCUGAGGCGCGAAAGCGUGGGGAGCGAACAGGAUUAGAUACCCGCGUAGUCC